Molecule: ribosomal RNA, 582 nt
Filed under: Loboscelidia sp. MC-2010
Lineage: Eukaryota; Metazoa; Arthropoda; Insecta; Hymenoptera; Chrysididae
Description: eukaryotic LSU rRNA
Source: RNAcentral
AAAGACCGAAUGGGGAGAUUCAUCGUCAGCGACGUUGGCUUCUCGAGGGUUCGUGAUGUCCAGGGACCUCGGUCCCUUGGCACGCGUCCCUUGCGCUCUAUGUCCGGCGACGUCGGCGUGCAUUCUCCCCUAGUAGGAGUCGCGACCCGUUGGGUGUCGGCCUACGGGCCGGGUGGUCGACUGUCGCCUCGGCGUAACGCGGCAGACCCCCGGUUACCCGACCGGCUACUCGGCGGUACUCGCAUGGUAUCGGGCCGCUGCAUUUGACAGCGUCGGACCCGUCGCAAGCGCGGUCAGUACUUCCGGGUGUUUGCGGACCUGGUCCGUCCCCGGGGCUGGCAAGCUGUUAGCAGACGGUGUUCUCCGACUGGCCAAACUCAUGAUACCGGUCGGCGACGCUACUGCUUUGGGUACUUUCAGGACCCGUCUUGAAACACGGACCAAGGAGUCUAACACGUGCGCGAGUCAUUGGGACUGAAAGCCUAAAGGCGCAAUGAAAGUGAAGGUCGGUCUAGCGCCGACUGAGGGAAGAUGGGCCGUUUAUUACGCGGCUCCGCAUUCCCGGGGCGACUCGUUCUCAUU